This 198-nucleotide ribosomal RNA is filed under the name uncultured bacterium. RNAcentral describes it as "partial 16S ribosomal RNA". It matches the Rfam family "Bacterial small subunit ribosomal RNA", at positions 328 to 539 of the family's 1533-position model. The record is from RNAcentral.
ACGCUCGACACCUACGGGGGCAGCAGUGGGGAAUAUUGCACAAUGGGGGAAACCCGUGAUGCAGCGACGCCGCGUGGAGGAAGAAGGUCUUCGGAUUGUAAACUCCUGUUGUUGGGGAAAAAGAGGAUGGUACCCAACAAGGAAGUGACGGCUAACUACGUGCAAGCAGCCGCGGUAAUCUGAGCGGGCUGGCAAGGC